Molecule: ribosomal RNA, 649 nt
Filed under: Salmonella enterica
Lineage: Bacteria; Pseudomonadati; Pseudomonadota; Gammaproteobacteria; Enterobacterales; Enterobacteriaceae
Also listed under: 1 other name
Description: bacterial SSU rRNA
Rfam family: Bacterial small subunit ribosomal RNA
Source: RNAcentral
AAAUUGAAGAGUUUGAUCAUGGCUCAGAUUGAACGCUGGCGGCAGGCCUAACACAUGCAAGUCGAACGGUAGCACAGAGAGCUUGCUCUCGGGUGACGAGUGGCGGACGGGUGAGUAAUGUCUGGGAAACUGCCCGAUGGAGGGGGAUAACUACUGGAAACGGUAGCUAAUACCGCAUAACGUCGCAAGACCAAAGUGGGGGACCUUCGGGCCUCACACCAUCGGAUGUGCCCAGAUGGGAUUAGCUAGUAGGUGGGGUAACGGCUCACCUAGGCGACGAUCCCUAGCUGGUCUGAGAGGAUGACCAGCCACACUGGAACUGAGACACGGUCCAGACUCCUACGGGAGGCAGCAGUGGGGAAUAUUGCACAAUGGGCGCAAGCCUGAUGCAGCCAUGCCGCGUGUAUGAAGAAGGCCUUCGGGUUGUAAAGUACUUUCAGCGAGGAGGAAGGCGUUGUGGUUAAUAACCACAGCGAUUGACGUUACUCGCAGAAGAAGCACCGGCUAACUCCGUGCCAGCAGCCGCGGUAAUACGGAGGGUGCAAGCGUUAAUCGGAAUUACUGGGCGUAAAGCGCACGCAGGCGGUUUGUUAAGUCAGAUGUGAAAUCCCCGGGCUCAACCUGGGAACUGCAUUUGAAACUGGCAAGC